Molecule: non-coding RNA, 74 nt
Organism: Ictidomys tridecemlineatus (thirteen-lined ground squirrel)
Lineage: Eukaryota; Metazoa; Chordata; Mammalia; Rodentia; Sciuridae
Source: Rfam
GGUGGUGUAGCUCAGUGGUAGAGCACUUUUGCCUAGAAUGAGAGAGGCCCUGGGUUCAAUUCCCACUAUCCUUG